GUGCCCAUAGCGUAGUCGGUUAACGCGCCAGAUUGUGGAUCUGGAGACCGUGGGUUCGAGUCCCACUGGGCACCCCA
This 77-nucleotide transfer RNA is filed under the name Faecalibacterium prausnitzii. RNAcentral's name for it is "tRNA-His". It matches the Rfam family "tRNA". From Rfam's summary of the family: Transfer RNA (tRNA) molecules are approximately 80 nucleotides in length. Their secondary structure includes four short double-helical elements and three loops (D, anti-codon, and T loops). RNAcentral also lists the same sequence under 45 other names. Lineage: Bacteria; Bacillati; Bacillota; Clostridia; Eubacteriales; Oscillospiraceae. The record is from RNAcentral.